UUUGGUGGCUGUUGAAGCGGUGUUACACCUGUUCCCAUCCCGAACACAGCAGUUAAGCCCGCUAUCGCCAAUGGUAGUCGAAAGGCAAGAGUAGGUCGCCGCCAAAA
RNAcentral lists this ribosomal RNA (107 nucleotides) under Candidatus Magasanikbacteria bacterium RIFOXYA1_FULL_40_8. Lineage: Bacteria; Candidatus Magasanikiibacteriota. RNAcentral also lists the same sequence under 4 other names. The record is from RNAcentral.